AUAUGAUGAUGAGGAUAUUGAAUGCAUAGUUGCUCAAAUCCUUCCUAAUACUCAGAGAGUGUCUCUCUAUAAGUUUGUAGAAUCUCACAUAUUUCUUUCCUUAUGCU
This 107-nucleotide small RNA is filed under the name Salix viminalis (osier). The record is from RNAcentral. Lineage: Eukaryota; Viridiplantae; Streptophyta; Magnoliopsida; Malpighiales; Salicaceae.